AGUGAACGCUGGCGGUAGGCCUAACACAUGCAAGUCGAACGGCAGCACAGUAAGAGCUUGCUCUUACGGGUGGCGAGUGGCGGACGGGUGAGGAAUACAUCGGAAUCUACUUUUUCGUGGGGGAUAACGUAGGGAAACUUACGCUAAUACCGCAUACGACCUACGGGUGAAAGUAGGGGAUCUUCGGACCUUGCGCGAUUGAAUGAGCCGAUGUCGGAUUAGCUAGUUGGCGGGGUAAAGGCCCACCAAGGCGACGAUCCGUAGCUGGUCUGAGAGGAUGAUCAGCCACACUGGAACUGAGACACGGUCCAGACUCCUACGGGAGGCAGCAGUGGGGAAUAUUGGACAAUGGGCGCAAGCCUGAUCCGGCCAUACCGCGUGGGUGAAGAAGGCCUUCGGGUUGUAAAGCCCUUUUGUUGGGAAAGAAAAGCAGCAGGUUAAUACCCCGCUGUUCUGACAGUACCCAAAGAAUAAGCACCGGCUAACUUCGUG
RNAcentral lists this ribosomal RNA (492 nucleotides) under uncultured bacterium. RNAcentral's name for it is "partial 16S ribosomal RNA". It matches the Rfam family "Bacterial small subunit ribosomal RNA", at positions 29 to 507 of the family's 1533-position model. The record is from RNAcentral.